Molecule: ribosomal RNA, 254 nt
Filed under: uncultured bacterium
Lineage: Bacteria
Description: partial 16S ribosomal RNA
Rfam family: Bacterial small subunit ribosomal RNA
Source: RNAcentral
UACGUAGGGGGCAAGCGUUGUCCGGAAUCAUUGGGCGUAAAGAGCGUGUAGGCGGCCUGAUAAGUCGGUUGUGAAAGUCAAGGGCUCAACCCUUGAAUGCCGACCGAUACUGUCAGGCUAGAGUCCGGAAGAGGCGAGUGGAAUUCCGUGGUGUAGCGGUGAAAUGCGCAGAUAUCAGGAGGAACACCAAUGGCGAAGGCAGCUCGCUGGGACGGUACUGACGCUGAGACGCGAAAGCGUGGGGAGCGAACAGG